ACGCUGGCGGCAGGCCUAACACAUGCAAGUCGAGCGGUAGAGAGAAGCUUGCUUCUCUUGAGAGCGGCGGACGGGUGAGUAAUGCCUAGGAAUCUGCCUGGUAGUGGGGGAUAACGUUCGGAAACGGACGCUAAUACCGCAUACGUCCUACGGGAGAAAGCAGGGGACCUUCGGGCCUUGCGCUAUCAGAUGAGCCUAGGUCGGAUUAGCUAGUUGGUGGGGUAAUGGCUCACCAAGGCGACGAUCCGUAACUGGUCUGAGAGGAUGAUCAGUCACACUGGAACUGAGACACGGUCCAGACUCCUACGGGAGGCAGCAGUGGGGAAUAUUGGACAAUGGGCGAAAGCCUGAUCCAGCCAUGCCGCGUGUGUGAAGAAGGUCUUCGGAUUGUAAAGCACUUUAAGUUGGGAGGAAGGGUUGUAGAUUAAUACUCUGCAAUUUUGACGUUACCGACAGAAUAAGCACCGGCUAACUCUGUGCCAGCAGCCGCGGUAAUACAGAGGGUGCAAGCGUUAAUCGGAAUUACUGGGCGUAAAGCGCGCGUAGGUGGUUUGUUAAGUUGGAUGUGAAAUCCCCGGGCUCAACCUGGGAACUCCAUUCAAAACUGACUGACUAGAGUAUGGUAGAGGGUGGUGGAAUUUCCUGUGUAGCGGUGAAGUGCGUAGAUAUAGGAAGGAACACCAGUGGCGAAGGCGACCACCUGGACUAAUACUCACACUGAGGUGCGAAAGCGUGGGGAGCAAAC
Molecule: ribosomal RNA, 745 nt
Filed under: uncultured bacterium
Lineage: Bacteria
Description: bacterial SSU rRNA
Rfam family: Bacterial small subunit ribosomal RNA
Source: RNAcentral